GUUGGAUGUAAUUCUCAUCUCUGUUUCUCUAACGUCCAAGAUUUUUCCUCCAUGUUUACUGUGGGAACAUGGCCGAGCUCCGGGAAGUAAAUCUCACAAUAUUGUGGGGCUCCCCUAUGACUGGAUCCUCCUGGAGUUUUUAACUCUCAGACUUGCCUGACUUGAGCCUCCAGCAAUUCAUCCGUUACGGUUCAGGGUCUCCUACUCCGGCUCUGGCUUCCGAGGUGAUUUCUGCUGGUAAAUGAUGAAAAGAUUCUGGAAACUACAGACUUGUAAAUUUGAUGUGAAUUCCGGACAAUAGCCAAGAAUAAAUGCCCAGAAAAAGUUGAACAGAGUGCUGAAGAAUCACAUGCAGAAGGCUUGGAAAGAAGCUUGAAAACUUAGGUUGAAGGAGAAAAGUUGUCCAGUAGGAUACAGAGUAAGGGCUUUCCUCAGGAGGUCACGUGGAAGAGGAAUUAGAUUGCGACAUGGUUCGAGAGGGCAGACCAUGGACCAAAUUGUCGGGAAGAAAAGGAGUGAUAGAUGUUCCAGUAAUUUGAGCUAUUUGGAAAUGUAAUGGGCUGUAAAAGUAAUGAGGACUCAGUCACUUGGAGUUUAAGCAAAAGUUGGGUAACUACCUCUUAUGUUUUAAAACAAUAACAAAAACAACCUCCCCCGACUACAAAACUUCCUGUAUUGUGUCAGAUCAGAGAGAUGACUUUUAAAGUGGUUCUUAUUUGAACGCAUGUCAGUUUCUUCUCUCUCUGUAAAAGACUCCUGUUAUCCCAUUUUUUAACCAAGUAUAAUUGUUCUCAGAAUUUUAUUUACAGUAAUUUAGCUUUGAUGGCGAGAUUUUAAAUUUAUUAAGUCUAGAUUACGACUUAGCAGGUAAAGGAGAAAUAAUUGGAUUUUUAUAUCUUUCCAAAU
Molecule: long non-coding RNA, 906 nt
Filed under: Equus caballus (horse)
Lineage: Eukaryota; Metazoa; Chordata; Mammalia; Perissodactyla; Equidae
Description: lncRNA (ENSECAG00000044523.1)
Source: RNAcentral